GGACCGGUUGGUUGGAGCGGCGUGGUCGCGCUUAUCGUUUCCCUUUGUUGUUUUGCAGCAAUUUUGUUUCCGUGCGCGAGGUGCAGUGGGUGCUAAAAUGCCAAGUAAGUGUUGGGCGCCUGGGUGCAUCGGCAACUACGAUGCGGGGAAGAGGAUACAAGUGUUUUCUUUCACUAAACACGACGACACUUUCAAGAAGUGGCUACGCGCCAUUCCUAGGAAGGACUUCUCGCCCACUUCGUACAAUAAGUUCUGCCAUGCUGAAGUACAUGGGGGCUUUCUGGACGCUGCCUGGCACCUGCUCAAAGGCAAAGCGCAAAAGAUGAGGACAGACGGAAGAACACAGCACUGGCGCUGACUUCUACUGAUCCUUAUUUGCGAUAUCGCCAGAACUGUAUCCAUCAGCAAAAGUAAUAAAAAAACAACUUUUGCAUUAA
Dermacentor albipictus is the source of this 437-nucleotide long non-coding RNA. RefSeq lists it as uncharacterized. NCBI's taxonomy places the organism in Eukaryota, Metazoa, Arthropoda, Arachnida, Ixodida, Ixodidae. The record is from RefSeq and is a predicted model, not a curated record.